Molecule: transfer RNA, 73 nt
Filed under: Ixodes scapularis (black-legged tick)
Lineage: Eukaryota; Metazoa; Arthropoda; Arachnida; Ixodida; Ixodidae
Description: tRNA-Ser for anticodon GGA
Rfam family: tRNA
About the family: Transfer RNA (tRNA) molecules are approximately 80 nucleotides in length. Their secondary structure includes four short double-helical elements and three loops (D, anti-codon, and T loops).
Source: Rfam by way of RNAcentral
UUCUAGUUAGCUCAGUUUGUAGAGCGCUGCACUGGAAAUGGAGAGGUCCUUGGUUCGAUACCAGGACCAGGCG